CAGUAGCCGCGGUAAUACGAAGGGUGCAAGCGUUAAUCGGAAUUACUGGGCGUAAAGCGUGCGUAGGCGGUUCGUUAAGUCUGCUGUGAAAUCCCCGGGCUCAACCUGGGAAUGGCAGUGGAUACUGGCGAGCUAGAGUGUGUCAGAGGAUGGUGGAAUUCCCGGUGUAGCGGUGAAAUGCGUAGAGAUCGGGAGGAACAUCAGUGGCGAAGGCGGCCAUCUGGGACAACACUGACGCUGAGGCACGAAAGCGUGGGGAGCAAACAGGAUUAGAUACCCCCGUAGUCCCUGUCUCUUAACA
RNAcentral lists this ribosomal RNA (301 nucleotides) under uncultured bacterium. Its description in RNAcentral is "partial 16S ribosomal RNA". It matches the Rfam family "Bacterial small subunit ribosomal RNA", at positions 509 to 808 of the family's 1533-position model. The record is from RNAcentral.